RNAcentral lists this ribosomal RNA (927 nucleotides) under uncultured Acidobacteriaceae bacterium. RNAcentral's name for it is "bacterial SSU rRNA". It matches the Rfam family "Bacterial small subunit ribosomal RNA", at positions 56 to 959 of the family's 1533-position model. Lineage: Bacteria; Pseudomonadati; Acidobacteriota; Terriglobia; Terriglobales; Acidobacteriaceae. The record is from RNAcentral.
UGCAAGUCGAACGCGAAAGUCCCCUUCGGGGGGCAAGUAGAGUGGCGCACGGGUGAGUAACACGUAGGUAAUCUACCUUUGGAUGGGGAAUAACAACCGGGAACGGUUGCUAAUACCGCAUAAUGCAGCGGCACCUAAUGGUGACAGUUGUUAAAGCGGGGGAUCGAAAGACCUCGCGUCUGAAGAGGAGCCUGCGGCAGAUUAGCUAGUUGGUAAGGUAACGGCUUACCAAGGCGACGAUCUGUAACCGGCCUGAGAGGGCGGUCGGUCACACUGACACUGACAUACGGGUCAGACUCCUACGGGAGGCAGCAGUCGGGAAUUUUGGGCAAUGGGCGAAAGCCUGACCCAGCAACGCCGCGUGAAGGAUGAAAUCCCUCGGGAUGUAAACUUCGCAAGAUUGGGAAGAAUUAGUAGGGGUUAAUACCCCCUAUGAUGACGGUACCUUUUGUAAGCUCCGGCUAACUCCGUGCCAGCAGCCGCGGUAAUACGGGGGGAGCAAGCGUUGUUCGGAUUUACUGGGCGUAAAGGGCGCGUAGGCGGUCAGCACAAGUCAGUUGUGAAAUCUCCGGGCUUAACUCGGAAAGGUCAACUGAUACUGUGCGACUAGAGUGCAGAAGGGGCAACUGGAAUUCUCGGUGUAGCGGUGAAAUGCGUAGAUAUCGAGAGGAACACCUGCGGCGAAGGCGGGUUGCUGGGCUGACACUGACGCUGAGGCGCGAAAGCCAGGGGAGCGAACGGGAUUAGAUACCCCGGUAGUCCUGGCCUUAAACGAUGGAUGCUUGGUGUCUGGAGUUAUAUAGUCUCCGGGUGCCGCAGCUAACGCGUUAAGCAUCCCGCCUGGGGAGUACGGUCGCAAGACUGAAACUCAAAGGAAUUGACGGGGACCCGCACAAGCGGUGGAGCAUGUGGUUCAAUUCGACGCAA